UUAACGGACACAUAGCACCACAAUAACGGACUUAUUCUGUCAGAAUAAGAUGAACUGCGCUUUUCUCCACUUACCUCUCAAAUGCAAGCUCAGUCGUAGGCGCUGGGCUUGUAGAAAUAUUUGCAUCUGACUGAAUGCAUAACUAAUCGCUCCGUCUGGCAGUAUUAGCCAGCAAACACCAUCCUCCAAGCCUUCUCAAAGUUCAGCGAGCAUCUGUAACUUAAGAGGAGAACGGACUAAACAGGUUGCAUUGAGUGCACAUUUCCUCCUGCCUCCCCUAGUGGGAUGGUUCUGCAUGACAGGGAGGGUAUGGUUCUGUAACCCCCUCUCUGUCCUCCAGUUCCCAUCCCAUAGACCCAGUGGACCACAGCCACAGUGUUCCCUUCAAUGAACAUCCCUCUGGAGCCCUAGAUCAAGUUACAUUGGGUGCCCAUUCUCUGCUGCCUCUCCCCGGUGGGAUGGUUCUGCAUGACAGGGAGGGUGUGGCGCCGUAGCACCCUCUCCUUGAGAUCUCUCCCACCCCGUAAAACCAGUGGACCACAGCCAUAGAGUUCCCCUCAAUGAGCAUCCCUCUGGAGCCCUAGAUCAAGUAAGUUGGCAAAUCAUCCAGAAGCUCUAAGCUGUAUUAAAAAAUAACCUGAAUUGGCA
This 648-nucleotide long non-coding RNA is filed under the name Sinocyclocheilus anshuiensis. RNAcentral describes it as "lncRNA (ENSSANG00000017944.1)". The record is from RNAcentral. Lineage: Eukaryota; Metazoa; Chordata; Actinopteri; Cypriniformes; Cyprinidae.